AAUAUUGCACAAUGGGCGCAAGCCUGAUGCAGCCAUGCCGCGUGUGUGAAGAAGGCCUUCGGGUUGUAAAGCACUUUCAGCGAGGAGGAAAGGUUAGUGGUUAAUACCUACUAGCUGUGACGUUACUCGCAGAAGAAGCACCGGCUAACUUCGUGCCAGCAGCCGCGGUAAUACGAGGGGUGCAAGCGUUAAUCGGAAUUACUGGGCGUAAAGCGCAUGCAGGCGGCCAAGUCAGUCAGAUGUGAAAGCCCCGGGCUCAACCUGGGAAUAGCAUUUGAUACUGCUUGGCUAGAGUCUUGUAGAGGGGGGUAGAAUUUCAGGUGUAGCGGUGAAAUGCGUAGAGAUCUGAAGGAAUACCAGUGGCGAAGGCGGCCCCCUGGACAAAGACUGACGCUCAGAUGCGAAAGCGUGGGGAGCAAACAGGAUUAGAUACCCUGGUAGUCCACGCCGUA
This 452-nucleotide ribosomal RNA is filed under the name uncultured marine bacterium. Its description in RNAcentral is "bacterial SSU rRNA". It matches the Rfam family "Bacterial small subunit ribosomal RNA", at positions 360 to 804 of the family's 1533-position model. The record is from RNAcentral.